AAACGAACAAACCUAUUUAAGCAUUCCUUACAACUAGACGUUAAAGUGCACUAGUUUUUUUUUCCGGUGCAAAAACUCGGAAGCCGUCGGGUAUUGUCGGCGGUACUUCGUUCAACUUGUUCUAUUUCUCUAGUGUGAUAACUGAUAACUCUCCAACUCUGUUCUGCUUUAUAAAGUUCGCGGUGAUUUUGCCAAUAAUCUUCGCCUCUGUACGUAGUGACAGUGGUUUUUCAAUCCACAUCAACUAUCAAGUAAGUUCAUACGAACAUCAUUAGUAUUAGGCUUUAGUUUUGGAUCAAGAAACCGAAAAAUACUUGACAUCAAAAAUUUGAAUUUGAAAAACUAGUGUCGGGAAGAUUAUCAUCAAAUAAAAAUAAUAAAAUCAUCACACUGACAAAACAUUGGGAGCCUUCGGGAACUGGGAAGAACAGAAAGAUGACGAACUGACGAUCAAAUGAUAAAUACAAGUUGAACGAAGUACCGCCGGCAAUACCCGACGGCUUCCGAGUUUUUGCACCGGAAAAAAAAACUAGUGCACUUUAACGUCUAGUUUCCUUACAUACAUUUCAGCAACGCUAAAUUUUUCUCCACUCUGAUUGGCUCUCGCGUUCAUGCACGAUCUCACCCGACACCCGCCGAACUCCUUAUCAUCAUUGCCAUUUUUGAACUUACAAAAAUUUUCAAGCUCACAUCGAAACUGCAGCAUUGUAAACCCUUCAGAUUAUCGCAAAUUACAUCGGAAAUAGACAAUGCAGAAAUGGAGCCCAUUAUAUUUCAGCCACAAAAUUAAAACUGAUGAUUUACCGCCCAAUAGUGUUAUCGUUUCCAAUGUUGUUGCUGUAUGCGAAAUUCGAUGCGCGAUAAAGGAAUAUAUUUUAUUUGUUGAUUUUGGUCACUUUGGUGAUUAUUUAGUUUAUGUUGUAAAUCUGAGUCAUUAUUUUAUGAAAUUUCGUACCUAAGUGAAUGAAGUUACUGUUUACUGUAAUGAGAGCAAAACCAAAAGCUACCAAAAGCAUUAUAACUAUAAAAUAUUUCAUUUUGUUGAUUAAUCUAAGCUAAGCCACUAAGGCAUAUGUAUUCGAUAAUUUUUUUUGUUUUUGUACCUUUUGCAUAAUAAAAUAUGGUCAUUUAGAUCGUAAA
Planococcus citri (citrus mealybug) is the source of this 1140-nucleotide long non-coding RNA. RefSeq lists it as uncharacterized. NCBI's taxonomy places the organism in Eukaryota, Metazoa, Arthropoda, Insecta, Hemiptera, Pseudococcidae. The transcript has 2 exons. The record is from RefSeq and is a predicted model, not a curated record.